RNAcentral lists this ribosomal RNA (381 nucleotides) under uncultured marine Chaetocerotaceae. RNAcentral's name for it is "SSU rRNA". It matches the Rfam family "Eukaryotic small subunit ribosomal RNA", at positions 587 to 972 of the family's 1831-position model. The record is from RNAcentral. Lineage: Eukaryota; Bacillariophyta; Thalassiosirophyceae; Chaetocerotales; Chaetocerotaceae.
AGCUCCAAUAGCGUAUAUUAAAGUUGCUGCAGUUAAAAAGCUCGUAGUUGCAUUUCCGAGGCAAGGGAUUAGUCCGACCUUUGGUGGGUAUUUAAUCCUCUUGCCUCGUCCUUGAGUGGUGCUUCUUGGUAUUAAGUUAUCGAGGAGAUAGCCGCUCAUCGUUUACUGUGAGAAAAUUAGAGUGUUCAAAGCAGGCUUAUGCCGUUGAAUAUAUUAGCAUGGAAUAAUAAGAUAGGACCUCGGUACUAUUUUGUUGGUUUGAGAACCAAGGUAAUGAUGAAUAGGGACAGUUGGGGGUAUUCGUAUUCAGUUGGCAGAGGUGAAAGUCUUAGAUUUACGGAAGACGAACUACUGCGAAAGCAUUUACCAAGGAUGUUUUCA